UACGAAGGGGGCUAGCGUUGUUCGGAAUUACUGGGCGUAAAGCGCGCGCAGGCGGUUCUUCAAGUCAGAGGUGAAAGCCCAGAGCUCAACUCUGGAAUGGCCUUUGAGACUAGAGAACUAGGGUACGGGAGAGGUGAGUGGAAUUCCGAGUGUAGAGGUGAAAUUCGUAGAUAUUGGGAAGAACACCGGUGGCGAAGGCGGCGAGCUGGUCCAUUACUGACGCUGAGGCGCGACAGCGUGGGGAGCAAACAGG
RNAcentral lists this ribosomal RNA (253 nucleotides) under uncultured bacterium. Its description in RNAcentral is "partial 16S ribosomal RNA". It matches the Rfam family "Bacterial small subunit ribosomal RNA", at positions 524 to 776 of the family's 1533-position model. The record is from RNAcentral.